GACGAACGCUGGCGGCGUGCUUAACACAUGCAAGUCGAACGGAAAGGCCCUGCUUUUGUUGGGUGCUCGAGUGGCGAACGGGUGAGUAACACGUGAGUAACCUGCCCUUGACUUUGUGAUAACUUCAGGAAACUGGGGCGCAUACCGGGUAGGAUCUCCUGCUGCAUGUUGGGGGUUGGAGAGUUUCGGCUGUUGGGGAUGGACUGGCGGCUUAUCAGCUUGUUGGUCGGGUAGUUGCUUACCAAGGGUUUGACGGGUAGCCGGCCUGAGAGGGUGACCGGGCACAUGGGGACUGAGAUACGGAGCAGAAUCCAACGGGAGGCAGUAGUGGAGAAUAUUGCACAGUGGGGGGAAGUGUGAUGUAGCGGCGCUGCGAGCGGAAUGAUGUCUUUCGGGUUGUAAACCGCUUUGGCCUGUGACGAAGAGUGAGUGACGGUAACGGGUAAAGAAGCACCGGCUAACUACGUG
This 468-nucleotide ribosomal RNA is filed under the name uncultured bacterium. Its description in RNAcentral is "partial 16S ribosomal RNA". It matches the Rfam family "Bacterial small subunit ribosomal RNA", at positions 28 to 507 of the family's 1533-position model. The record is from RNAcentral.